CCUACGGGCGGCAGCAGUGGGGAAUAUUGGACAAUGGGCGAAAGCCUGAUCCAGCCAUGCCGCGUGUGUGAAGAAGGCCUUCGGGUUGUAAAGCACUUUCAGUGGGGAAGAAAGCCUUGGGGCUAAUACCCUCGAGGAAGGACAUCACCCACAGAAGAAGCACCGGCUAACUCCGUGCCAGCAGCCGCGGUAAUACGGAGGGUGCGAGCGUUAAUCGGAAUUACUGGGCGUAAAGCGCGCGUAGGCGGUCUGAUAAGCCGGUUGUGAAAGCCCCGGGCUCAACCUGGGAACGGCAUCCGGAACUGUCAGGCUAGAGUGCAGGAGAGGGAGGUAGAAUUCCCGGUGUAGCGGUGAAAUGCGUAGAGAUCGGGAGGAAUACCAGUGGCGAAGGCGGCCUUCUGGACUGACACUGACGCUGAGGUGCGAAAGCGUGGGUAGCAAACAGGAUUAGAUACCCUUGUAGUC
This 465-nucleotide ribosomal RNA is filed under the name Vreelandella stevensii. RNAcentral describes it as "partial 16S ribosomal RNA". It matches the Rfam family "Bacterial small subunit ribosomal RNA", at positions 338 to 795 of the family's 1533-position model. The record is from RNAcentral. Lineage: Bacteria; Pseudomonadati; Pseudomonadota; Gammaproteobacteria; Oceanospirillales; Halomonadaceae.